CUAUAAAACAAUAAGAAAAUUUUGCCUAUCUGAUGCGGACAACAAGAAGCUCCAGGAAAAAUAAAAAAUAAAAAGACUAAAGCACAAUUAGAAUUAUGAUCCAGAUUUAAUAGUCUUUUUAUAGUUUUAUUUAUAAGUCUAUUCAAAUAAAUUAGCUGCUGCCUAGCAUUUUAAGUUAGGAUAUUUCAGAAAUUUCCGGAUACCUUUAGGAAUCCUUGUUUGCAUUUUUAGAGUCUUAAUUUGAGUGACUAUUGGUUUAGGAUAAUAUUAUUCCU
This 275-nucleotide unclassified non-coding RNA is filed under the name Hevea brasiliensis (rubber tree). Lineage: Eukaryota; Viridiplantae; Streptophyta; Magnoliopsida; Malpighiales; Euphorbiaceae. The record is from RNAcentral.